GUAGCACUCACAUUGGUAGCCAUGAAGUCCUUUGAAAGGCUGGUAGUGGCUGACAUCAAGCAAUCAUGCCGGAAACCCUAGACCCACUCCAAUUGGCAUACUGGCCCAACAGAUCCACAGAUGAUGCAAUCUCUAUUGCGCUCCACACUACCCUCUCACCUGGACAAAAGGAUCCCCUCUGUGAGAAUGCUGCUCAUUGACUACAACUCAGCAUUCAACAGCAUAGUGCCAACAAAGCUGAUCACUAAGCAAAGGACCCUGGUACUAAACACCUCCCUCUGGAACUGGAUUCUGGACUUCCUGACGGGCUGCCCCCAGCUGGUAAGGAUAGUUAACACAUCCGGCACGCUUAUCCUCAACACGGGGGCCCCUCAAGGGUGCGUGCUCAGUCCCCUCCUGUACUCUGUUCACUCAAUUCUGCACAGCCAGGCACGAAUCCAACACCAUUAUGUUUGCUGAUGACAACAGUGGUAGGCCUGAUCACCGGCAACAAUGAGACAGCCUAUAGAGAGGAGGUCAGAGACCUGACCGUGUGGGGCGAAGACAAAAACCUCUCCCUCAACGUGACCAACACAAAGGAGGUGAUUGUUGUCUACAGGAAAAGGAUGACCGAACAUGCCCCCAUUCUCAUCAAUGGGGCUGUAGUGGAGCAGGUUGAGAGCUUCAAGUUCCUUGGUGUCCACAUCGCCAACAAACGAACAUGGUCCAAGCACACCAAGACAGUUGUGAAGAGGGUGCGACAAAACAUAUUCCCACUCAGGAGACAGAAAAGAUUUGGAAUGGAUACUCAGAUCCUCAAAAGGAUUUACAGCUGUACCGUCGAGAGCAUCCUGACAGGUUGCAUCACCUCCUGGACCUGAGCCCUGGGACCACGUCUCAGGACUACCUGGCCUGAUCACUCCUUGCUGUCCCCAGUCCACCUGGUCAUGCUGCUGCUCCAGUUUCAACUGUUCUGCCUGCGGCUACGGAACCCUGACCUGUUCACCGGACGUGCUACCUUGUCCCAGACCUGACAUUUACUCCUGAGAUGCUGACCUGUUGCACCCUCUUCAACCACUGUGAUUAUUAUUAUUUGAGCCUGCUGGUCAUCUUGCCCAUGUUCUGUUAUAAUCUCCACCCGGCACAGCCAGAAGAGGACUGGAUACCCCUCAGAGCCUGGUUCCUCUCUAGGUUUCUUUCUAGGUUCCUGCCUUUCUAGGGAGUUUUUCCUAGCCACCGUGCAUCUGUAUUGCUUGCUGUUUGGGGUUUUAGGCUGGGUUUCUGUACAGCACUUUGUGACAUCGGCUGAUGUUGAAAGGGCUUAAUGAAUAAAAUUUGAUUGCGUACGGCCGAGUACAUCAUUGACUAGAAGCUUACUGCCAUCCAGGAUCUACUGUAUAUACUAGGCGGUGUCAGAGGAAGGGCAAAAAAAAAUGGUCUAAGACUCCAGUCACAUUGUAAAGUAUGUCAUUUCAAUAGUGUUGUGAUAUCAGAUUAUGUCAUGGAGUAACAAACUUUAAGAUGGAUUUGAUACAAAACUUCUCUGCAAAAGCCAACUUUUACCUGGGGGCAUGCUUUGUAGACCCUUCAAAGGCAUUCCGAUACCUGGUCCCCAAGAAAAAACCCACAUGGUAUGAUAGCUUAUAGACAGUAGUAGGCAAAUGAAUGGAAAAAGUUACAAUAUUAAGAUGAUGGUAUAACAUUUCUAGAGUCUAUUUGCUGGUAAUUGGAAACAGGUCCCUUUGGAAUUUCGUCCCCCAUUCCUAAACACAUCCAUCCUAUAGUGUAGGUUUUGAAGAUUCAUAAUCUCUGAUUGUAGUCAUCAGAAGAAGAUUGAGGAACGGUUGAUAGGUCCAAGAAGUACAAGCCCCCACACCGUUCUCCAACCUCUGAAAUGUUG
This 1879-nucleotide long non-coding RNA is filed under the name Salmo salar (Atlantic salmon). RNAcentral describes it as "lncRNA (ENSSSAG00000107518.1)". Lineage: Eukaryota; Metazoa; Chordata; Actinopteri; Salmoniformes; Salmonidae. The record is from RNAcentral.